UCUUAAUGUGAGUGGCAUUGUCAUGUUGUAAUUUUUUGGUGGCAUCCGACAACAUUAAAUCUUUGUGUUGAAAAUUUAUAGAUCGAUGAGCUUGAUGAUGAUCAGGAAAACAACUCGGAGCUCUCGAAUGAAGAUUACAUUAGUCAGUUCAUUUCCGAAUGUCAUAAUGCGUACGACUAUUACGGUGAAUCCGACGCGGAGACAGGCCUUAACGACGAAUCAUUAGAUGCACCUGGUUCUGGGGAGUCCGAGUCGUCGGUCAUCAUGAGUGAGGUGACACAAGAUGAUGGGGCAAAGAAUGUCCAAGAUACUGCCAGUGCAGAUGAUAAGAGGGAUAUGUUCAUGCAGAUAAUGGAAA
This is a non-coding RNA of Triticum urartu, 358 nucleotides long. The record is from RefSeq and is a predicted model, not a curated record. Lineage: Eukaryota; Viridiplantae; Streptophyta; Magnoliopsida; Poales; Poaceae.